This 427-nucleotide ribosomal RNA is filed under the name uncultured bacterium. RNAcentral's name for it is "bacterial SSU rRNA". It matches the Rfam family "Bacterial small subunit ribosomal RNA", at positions 355 to 774 of the family's 1533-position model. The record is from RNAcentral.
UGGGGAAUUUUGGACAAUGGGCGCAAGCCUGAUCCAGCAAUGCCGCGUGCAGGAUGAAGGCCUUCGGGUUGUAAACUGCUUUUGUACGGAGCGAAAAGGUCUGCCCUAAUACGGUGGGCUCAUGACGGUACCGUAAGAAUAAGCACCGGCUAACUACGUGCCAGCAGCCGCGGUAAUACGUAGGGUGCGAGCGUUAAUCGGAAUUACUGGGCGUAAAGCGUGCGCAGGCGGUUAUGCAAGACAGAGGUGAAAUCCCCGGGCUCAACCUGGGACCUGCAUUUGUGACUGUAUAGCUAGAGUUCGGUAGAGGGGGAUGGAAUUCCGCGUGUAGCAGUGAAAUGCGUAGAUAUGCGGAGGAACACCGAUGGCGAAGGCAAUCCCCUGGACCUGUACUGACGCUCAUGCACGAAAGCGUGGGGAGCAAACA